Molecule: non-coding RNA, 113 nt
Organism: Acanthosepion pharaonis
Lineage: Eukaryota; Metazoa; Mollusca; Cephalopoda; Sepiida; Sepiidae
Source: the annotation of a GenBank genome assembly
UACAGCCAUAUCACGUUGAAACACCAGUUCUAAUCCAAUCACCAAAGUUAAGCAAUGUAAAGCCUGAUCAGUACCUAGAUUGGUGACUGCUUGGGAAUACCAGGUGCUGUAAG